This 586-nucleotide ribosomal RNA is filed under the name uncultured bacterium. RNAcentral describes it as "partial 16S ribosomal RNA". It matches the Rfam family "Bacterial small subunit ribosomal RNA", at positions 355 to 1375 of the family's 1533-position model. The record is from RNAcentral.
UGGGGAAUUUUGGACAAUGGGCGAAAGCCUGAUCCAGCAAUGCCGCGUGUGUGAAGAAGGCCUUCGGGUUGUAAAGCACUUUUGUCCGGAAAGAAAUCCUUGGCUCUAAUACAGUCGGGGGAUGACGGUACCGGAAGAAUAAGCACCGGCUAACUACGUGCCAGCAGCCGCGGUAAUACGUAGGGUGCAAGCGUUAAUCGGAAUUACUGGGCGUAAAGCGUGCGCAGGCGGUUUGCUAAGACCGAUGUGAAAUCCCCGGGCUCAACCUGGGAACUGCAUUGGUGACUGGCAGGCUAGAGUAUGGCAGAGGGGGGUAGAAUUCCACGUGCAGCAGUGAAAUGCGUAGAGAUGUGGAGGAAUACCGAUGGCGAAGGCAGCCCCCUGGGCCAAUACUGACGCUCAUGCACGAAAGCGUGGGGAGCAAAACAGGAUUAGAUACCCUGGUAGUCCACGCCCUAAACGAUGUCAACUAGUUGUUGGGGAUUCAUUUCCUUAGUAACGUAGCUAACGCGUGAAGUUGACCGCCUGGGGAGUACGGUCGCAAGAUUAAAACUCAAAGGAAUUGACGGGGUCAUAGCUGUUUCCU